CCCAGACCCGAGCCCUCCAGUCCCUCCCGUCCGCCGGCGCCCCGGCAGUCGGCGCGGGACUUCCCGCUGACAAGGGUCCUUGACUUGGCUCUCAACUCCGUCCCUGAAGUCCCUGAGCGCCCAGAGACGUCCACCUGGCGGCUACAGAGCCCUGGGCGGUGGCCAAACCAUCUCCAAAAUUUUGGGCCACACGUGGGAUGGUAUUCGGGGAUCGGAGAGGUCGCUACUCUACACAAACAGCACACCUGGUCUCAGGGGCCCUGACAAAGUGUGACCUGCACUGGCCCCACCUCAGGGCAGUCGCCCUCACAUCCCCAGACCAGACUGGGCUCAGAGCAAUGUCCUGCACGGCGGGCGUGAGUGAGCGAGCGGGCGUGCCCUCCAGAGGCCUCCGGACGGCGCAAACUGUCUUUUGUUUGGGCACAGAUUCGAGAAUGCUGCAGCCCGGCCUGGAAGAGGGUCUGGAUUACUUUCCCGUUCCUUGUGUUCCUGCAUCUCGAAGGCCUCCCCAGCAUUCCCUGGUGGUUAUUUCGAGUGCACCUGUUCCUGAAACGGCUUGA
Molecule: long non-coding RNA, 560 nt
Filed under: Mustela putorius furo (domestic ferret)
Lineage: Eukaryota; Metazoa; Chordata; Mammalia; Carnivora; Mustelidae
Description: lncRNA (ENSMPUG00000023938.1)
Source: RNAcentral